GACGAACGCUGGCGGCGCGCCUAACACAUGCAAGUCGAACGAGCGAGAGAGAGCUUGCUUUCUCAAGCGUGUGGCGAACGGGUGAGUAACGCGUGAGGAACCUGCCUCAAAGAGGGGGACAACAGUUGGAAACGACUGCUAAUACCGCAUAAGCCCACAGGUCGGCAUCGACCAGAGGGAAAAGGAGCAAUCCGCUUUGAGAUGGCCUCGCGUCCGAUUAGCUAGUUGGUGAGGUAACGGCCCACCAAGGCAACGAUCGGUAGCCGGACUGAGAGGUUGAACGGCCACAUUGGGACUGAGACACGGCCCAGACUCCUACGGGAGGCAGCAGUGGGGAAUAUUGCACAAUGGGGGAAACCCUGAUGCAGCGACGCCGCGUGGAGGAAGAAGGUCUUCGGAUUGUAAACUCCUGUUGUUGAGGAAGAUAAUGACGGUACUCAACAAGGAAGUGACGGCUAACUACGUG
This 466-nucleotide ribosomal RNA is filed under the name uncultured bacterium. RNAcentral's name for it is "partial 16S ribosomal RNA". It matches the Rfam family "Bacterial small subunit ribosomal RNA", at positions 28 to 507 of the family's 1533-position model. The record is from RNAcentral.